This is a long non-coding RNA of Neofelis nebulosa (Clouded leopard), 418 nucleotides long. RefSeq lists it as uncharacterized. The transcript has 2 exons. The record is from RefSeq and is a predicted model, not a curated record. NCBI's taxonomy places the organism in Eukaryota, Metazoa, Chordata, Mammalia, Carnivora, Felidae.
UGUCCUGAUUUGUGGCUGUCUCCCCACAGUGGUGAGCAAUGCCAGGUCAGGGACAGACACUUCUCCCAUGUAUGCCCAAUCCAGAGCCCUAGGCAAUCAAAGGUACUUUUGUGUUCUCCAAGGAACCUUAGGAUCUCCAGGGAAGACACUGUGAAGGAGGCAAUCCAGAUAAGUGGACAUGAGUAUCCAGUUAGUAGGAGUCCUACAAUAUUGUGUCUCUAAAUCAGUGUCUCAUGAAUUUGGAAAGUGGCCCUCCAUACUUCAGAGCUAGCACAUACUGGAGUGCUCCUUGGAGGCAAGGGAGUUCCCAAAUUGCAAGGCUAAGGACUCACAUGCUGGACUAAGUUGUCCUCCUAGUGGUCACUUCAUGAGGCCCGCAUGGGCCACCAGCCGGCCUCAUUAAAAAAAUCAUGUCCUA